This 408-nucleotide ribosomal RNA is filed under the name uncultured bacterium. RNAcentral describes it as "bacterial SSU rRNA". It matches the Rfam family "Bacterial small subunit ribosomal RNA", at positions 92 to 518 of the family's 1533-position model. The record is from RNAcentral.
UUAGUGGCGGACGGGUGAGUAACGCGUGGGUAACCUGCCUCAUACAGGGGGAUAACAGUUAGAAAUGACUGCUAACACCGCAUAAUAUAGUGAAACCGCAUGAUUUUGCUAUCAAAUAUUUAUAGGUAUGAGAUGGGCCCGCGUCUGAUUAGCUAGUUGGUGGGGUAAAGCCUACCAAGGCGACGAUCAGUAGCCGGCUUGAGAGAGUGACCGGCCACAUUGGGACUGAGACACGGCCCAAACUCCUACGGGAGGCAGCAGUGGGAAUAUUGGACAAUGGGGGAAACCCUGAUCCAGCGAACCGCCGCGUGAGUGAAGAAGUAUUUCGGUAUGUAAAGCUCUAUCAGCAGGGAAGAUAAUGACAGUACCUGACUAAGAAGCCCCGGCUAACUACGUGCCAGCAGCCGC